This 497-nucleotide ribosomal RNA is filed under the name uncultured bacterium. RNAcentral describes it as "partial 16S ribosomal RNA". It matches the Rfam family "Bacterial small subunit ribosomal RNA", at positions 28 to 507 of the family's 1533-position model. The record is from RNAcentral.
GACGAACGCUGGCGGCGUGCCUAAUACAUGCAAGUAGAACGCUGAAGAGAGGAGCUUACUCUUCUUGGAUGAGUUGCGCACGGGUGAGUAACGCGUAGGUAACCUGCCUUGUAGCGGGGGAUCACUAUUGGAAACGAUAGCUAAUACCGCAUAACAAUGGAUGACACAUGUCAUUUAUUUGAAAGGGGCAAUUGCUCCACUACAAGGUGGACCUGCGUUGUAUUAGCUAGUAGGUGAGGUAAUGGCUCACCUAGGGGACGAUACAUAGACGACCUGAAAGGGUGAGCGGCCAAACUGGGACUGGGACACGGCCCAGACUACUAACGGGGGGAGCAGGAGGGGAACUUUGGCAAAGGGGGCAACGCUGAACGAGGAACGCCGCGGGGGUGAAGAAGGGUGUCGGGUCGGAAAAGUCUGUUGUAAGUCAAGAACGGGUGUGGGAGUGGAAAGUUCACACUGUGACGGUAGCUUACCAGAAAGGGACGGCUAACUACGUG